CUUCUGAACACAGCUGCCUCGUCCUUCCCUGAUGACUGGGUCCAUGAGACUGGGGCAGCAGCAGGGGCAGGUACAGAGCACCUCAGCCGCCUCUCCACCUGACAGCAACAUCAAAGCCGAGGCCAAGGCGGGAGGGCCCAGAGUGAGACACCUCUUCCAGACAAGACUUGGUCGCUGCCUCCUCCUCUGUCACCCUGCGACACAGCCCAGAGUACCAGGCGGCUGGAGCACUGGGGGACACCCGGACAGAACCCUCCCUGGACCAAGUCCUCCAGGAACGGGAUGAAGCCAUUGCCAAGAAGCAGGCGGUGGAGGCGGAGCUGCAGAGAUGCAAAGCCAGGCUACACGCCAUGGAGGCCCAGCUGCUGGAGGUCCUGGAGGAGAAACUGAGGCUGAGGCGGGAGCUGGAGGCCUGGGAGGAGGACGUGCAGCAGCUGGUGUGGCAGCAGGUCCAGAAUCAGCUGCAGAGAGAGGCCAAGGGUACUCGGGGAGCCCA
RNAcentral lists this long non-coding RNA (496 nucleotides) under Homo sapiens (human). RNAcentral's name for it is "non-protein coding lnc-BUD23-1:4". The record is from RNAcentral. Lineage: Eukaryota; Metazoa; Chordata; Mammalia; Primates; Hominidae.